GCACAAGUACGACCAGCCAGGUGUGUCCGCAUGUUGAGUGGUCUAUGCGCAGGAGGUGAGGAAUGGGCAAGGUGCAUCGCACUAUGUCAUGUUGUCUGCCAAGCGGCAUGAGUGCAUGUCCUAGUACCCCUAUGCAAGUAGGACAGCAUGCUUGAGGCACGUUGCUUGCAUGGCGUGCUACGCUGCACCAUUCUACUUUG
RNAcentral lists this long non-coding RNA (200 nucleotides) under Carica papaya (papaya). RNAcentral's name for it is "long non-coding RNA (CPAP_LNC009472)". Lineage: Eukaryota; Viridiplantae; Streptophyta; Magnoliopsida; Brassicales; Caricaceae. The record is from RNAcentral.